RNAcentral lists this ribosomal RNA (339 nucleotides) under uncultured bacterium. RNAcentral's name for it is "bacterial SSU rRNA". It matches the Rfam family "Bacterial small subunit ribosomal RNA", at positions 30 to 362 of the family's 1533-position model. The record is from RNAcentral.
AUUGAACGCUGGUGGCAUGCUUAACACAUGCAAGUCGAACGGCAGCAUGACAGUAGCUUGCUACUGUUGAUGGCGAGUGGCGGACGGGUGAGUAAUGCGUAGGAAUCUGCCUACUAGUGGGGGAUAACCCAGGGAAACUUGGGCUAAUACCGCAUAAGUUCUGAGGAAGAAAGAGGGGACCGCAAGGCCUCUUGCUAGUAGAUGAGCCUACGUCGGAUUAGCUAGUUGGUGGGGUAAAGGCCCACCAAGGCAGUGAUCCGUAGCUGGUCUGAGAGGAUGAUCAGCCACACUGGGACUGAGACACGGCCCAGACUCCUACGGGAGGCAGCAGUGGGGAAU